Dalotia coriaria is the source of this 522-nucleotide long non-coding RNA. RefSeq lists it as uncharacterized. The record is from RefSeq and is a predicted model, not a curated record. The transcript is spliced from 2 exons. NCBI's taxonomy places the organism in Eukaryota, Metazoa, Arthropoda, Insecta, Coleoptera, Staphylinidae.
CCGCGCGUUGCUAUCGUAGCCGGUGCAGACGCGUCGAGUUAAUAACGUAUACAAAAACAAUCGGUUUAUAUUAUUACGAUGAGCGGUAAUUAAACGCCGAACGGCGCACAAAUAAAGUCAAAAAGUGUCGAUUUUCUGAAGAAUGAGGUUAUGAGAAGCAUGGGGAGCAUUCAAAAUUGCUUUUCGUUCACUUUUCCACUCCGCAUUCCAAUUUCGGGGCGUUAAAAGCUAAAACGAGGUUGCAAGGACACUCAAAGGAUGCGUUCGAAAGCGAUAAAAGACCAGCGAAGGAAAGAAUGAGGAAUAUGGACAAGGACGAAGCGUUUUCCGCAGUUUUGAUUUUUCCAGUCUUUACAUUUUCACGACUCUACCUUGACUCCCGGUGGUCGUGGAGGAGCCUAAAGCUCAAGGAUUUACAAGUUCAACAUACAGUAUGUUAAACAAAAUCUUAAAAUUAAUAUUAAAAUAAUUUUAAUAAAAAUUAUGACAAAUUCAUAAUUAAACACCCUGUAUAUAACAAAA